UGGGGAAUCUUGCGCAAUGGACGAAAGUCUGACGCAGCCACGCCGCGUGAGUGAAGAAGGCCUUCGGGUUGUAAAGCUCUGUCGGGAGGGACGAACAUCUAUACAGUUAAGAGCUGGGUAGACUGACGGUACCUCUAAAGGAAGCACCGGCUAACUUCGUGCCAGCAGCCGCGGUAAUACGAGGGGUGCAAGCGUUGCUCGGAAUCAUUGGGCGUAAAGGGUAGGUAGGUGGUCUCAUUUGUCUGGGGUGAAAUCCUUGGGCUUAACUCAAGAAGUGCCCCAGAAACGGUGAGACUAGAGUACUGGAGAGGCGAGUGGAAUUCCCGGUGUAGCGGUGAAAUGCGUAGAGAUCGGGAGGAACACCAGAGGCGAAGGCGGCUCGCUGGACAGUUACUGACACUCAACUACGAAAGCGUGGGGAGCAAACAGGAUUAGAUACCCCCGUAGUCC
This 450-nucleotide ribosomal RNA is filed under the name uncultured bacterium. RNAcentral describes it as "bacterial SSU rRNA". It matches the Rfam family "Bacterial small subunit ribosomal RNA", at positions 355 to 796 of the family's 1533-position model. The record is from RNAcentral.